UUCAUUAAUCAGGAACGAAAGUUAGGGGAUCGAGGACGAUCAGAUACCGUCGUAGUCUUAACCAUAAACUAUGCCGACUAGGGAUCGGACGGUGUUAUUUUUUGACCCGUUCGGCACCUUACGAGAAAUCAAAGUGCUUGGGCUCCAGGGGGAGUAUGGUCGCAAGGCUGAAACUUAAAGAAAUUGACGGAAGGGCACCACAGGGGUGGAGCCUGCGGCUUAAUUUGACUCAACACGGGGAAACUCACCAGGUCCAGACACAAUGAGGAUUGACAGAUUGAGAGCUCUUUCUUGAUUUUGUGGGUGGUGGUGCAUGGCCGUUCUUAGUUGGUGGAGUGAUUUGUCUGCUUAAUUGCGAUAACGAACGAGACCUUAGCCUGCUAAAUAGCCCGUAUUGCUUUGGCAGUACGCUGGCUUCUUAGAGGGACUAUCGGCUCAAGCCGAUGGAAGUUUGAGGCAAUAACAGGU
RNAcentral lists this ribosomal RNA (468 nucleotides) under uncultured fungus. RNAcentral's name for it is "SSU rRNA". It matches the Rfam family "Eukaryotic small subunit ribosomal RNA", at positions 969 to 1461 of the family's 1831-position model. Lineage: Eukaryota; Fungi. The record is from RNAcentral.